Molecule: ribosomal RNA, 600 nt
Filed under: uncultured bacterium
Lineage: Bacteria
Description: bacterial SSU rRNA
Rfam family: Bacterial small subunit ribosomal RNA
Source: RNAcentral
GACGGGUGAGUAUGACUUAGGAUCUGCCAUUAGUGGGGGGCAACNUCGAAAGAAUGCUAAUACGCAUACGUCUACGGGAGAAGCAGGGAUCUUCGGACUUGCGCUAAAUGAUGAGCCUAAGUCGGAUACUAGUUGUGGUAAAGGCCUACAGGCGACAUCUGUACGGGUCUGAAGGAUGAUCCCGCCACACUGGAACUGAAACACGGGCCCAAACUCCUACGGAGCACUGGGGAAUAUUGGACAAUGGGCGGAAGCCUGAUCCAGCCAUGCCGCGUGUGUGAAGAAGGCCUUUUGGUUGUAAAGCACUUUAAGCGGGGAGGAGGCUACCUGGAUUAAUACUCUGGGAUAGUGGACGUUACUCGCAGAAUAAGCACCGGCUAACUCUGUGCCACAGCCGCGGUAAUACAGAGGGUGCGAGCGUUAAUCGGAUUUACUGGGCGUAAAGCGUGCGUAGCGGGCUUUUUAAGUCGGAUGUGAAAAUCCCCGAGCUUAACUUGGGAAUUGGAUUCGAUACCUGGGGAAAAGCCUUAAAAGUUAUUGGGAGAGGAUGGUAAGAAUUCCAGGUGUACGGGUGAAAUGCGUAAAGAAUCUGGAGGAAAU